AACCCACGUGUCUAAACGCUGGCGGGGCCCUAGAGUAUGCUCCUGGGUCAGGACCAACGCUGGCGGCGUGCCUAAUACAUGCAAGUCGAGCGGAUCUUCAUUAGCUAGCUUGUGAAGAUCAGCGGCGGACGGGUGAGUAACACGUGGGCAACGUGCCUGUAAGACUGGGAUAACUUCGUGAAACCGGAGCUAAUACCGGAUAAUCCUUUCCCUCACAUGAGGGAAAGCUGAAAGACGGUUUCGGCUGUCACUUACAGAUGGGCCCGCGGCGCAUUAGCUAGUUGGUGAGGUAACGGCUCACCAAGGCAACGAUGCGUAGCCGACCUGAGAGGGUGAUCGGCCACACUGGGACUGAGACACGGCCCAGACUCCUACGGGAGGCAGCAGUAGGGAAUCUUCCGCAAUGGACGAAAGUCUGACGGAGCAACGCCGCGUGAGCGAUGAAGGCCUUCGGGUCGUAAAGUUCUGUUGUCAGGGAAGAACAAGUACCGGAGUAACUGCCGGUACCUUGACGGUACCUGACCAGAAAGCCACGGCUAACUACGUGCCAGCAGCCGCGGUAAUACGUAGGUGGCAAGCGUUGUCCGGAAUUAUUGGGCGUAAAGCGCGCGCAGGCGGUUCCUUAAGUCUGAUGUGAAAGCCCCCGGCUCAACCGGGGAGGGUCAUUGGAAACUGGGGAACUUGAGUGCAGAAGAGGAGAGCGGAAUUCCACGUGUAGCGGUGAAAUGCGUAGAGAUGUGGAGGAACACCAGUGGCGAAGGCGGCUCUCUGGUCUGUAACUGACGCUGAGGCGCGAAAGCGUGGGGAGCGAACAGGAUUAGAUACCCUGGUAGUCCACGCCGUAAACGAUGAGUGCUAAGUGUUAGAGGGUUUCCGCCCUUUAGUGCUGCAGCAAAACGCCC
RNAcentral lists this ribosomal RNA (902 nucleotides) under Mesobacillus subterraneus. RNAcentral describes it as "bacterial SSU rRNA". It matches the Rfam family "Bacterial small subunit ribosomal RNA", at positions 1 to 860 of the family's 1533-position model. The record is from RNAcentral. Lineage: Bacteria; Bacillati; Bacillota; Bacilli; Caryophanales; Bacillaceae.